Molecule: long non-coding RNA, 2482 nt
Filed under: Mytilus galloprovincialis (Mediterranean mussel)
Lineage: Eukaryota; Metazoa; Mollusca; Bivalvia; Mytilida; Mytilidae
Source: RNAcentral
AUUCUAAGGCCAAAAAAAAAAAAAUAGGUGUGUUUCCGGUCGCCCGACCGACCCUAAUUUUUUGGCGCCGACCCUAACUUUUUUUUCCCGGAAAAAAAAAAAAAAAAAAAAAAAAAAUCGGAUUUUUUUUUUUUUUCGUUUUUUUUCCGGAAACGGUUUUUUGUUUAGUAUAGCCUUUGAAUGGCAUCUUUUAAACGUUUGAUUUCAAAUAAAAUUUUAAUACAGUAAGCAUUUGUGUGAUACAGAUUGAAGUCAAACAACGGCAUGGCUUCUGCUAUGGCCAUCAGUCAAAGUGUGUUAUCAAUAAAGUUUAACUAAAAACUCCACAUGAAAAAGGAUUAAAAAUUUAGUCAUUGCAUCAUGAUUCCAACACAUUGAUUUGUCAUGGACAGCAUUGGACUACUGUAUUUUUUAUUGGUUUCUAAUGUUAGUAUUUUCUACUUUUCGUAAUAUUUUCAUCCAACAACAAUAACAGUUUUUAUUGUCGAGCCUGCAACUUUUGUUGCAGAAAGCUCGACAUAGGGAUAGUGAUCCGGCGGCGGCGGCGGCUACGGCGGCUACGGCGGCGGCGUUAGCUCACUUCUUAAAAGCUUUAUAUUUUAGAAGGUGGAAGACCUGGAUGCUUCAUACUUUGUAUAUAGAUGCUUCAUGUUACGAAGUUUCCGUCAGUCACAUGUCCAAUGUCCUUGACCUCAUUUUCAUGGUUCAGUGACCACUUGAAAAAAAAGUUCAAAUUUUUUGUAAUGUUGAAUUCUCUCUUAUUAUAAGUAAUAGGAUAACUAUAUUUGAUGUGUGCGUACCUUGCAAGGUCCUCAUGCCCGUCAGACAGUUUUCACUUGACCUCGACCUCAUUUCAUGGAUCGGUGAACAAGGUUAAGUUUUGGUGGUCAGUCCAUAUCUCAGAUACUAUAAGCAAUAGGGCUAGUAUAUUCGGUGUAUGGAAGGACUGUAAGGUGUACAUGUCCAACUGGCAGGUGUCAUCUGACCUUGACCUCAUUUUCGUGGUUCAGUGGUUAUAGUUAAAUUUUUGUGUUUUGGUCUGUUUUUCUCAUACCAUAUGCAAUAGGUCUACUAUAUUUGUUGUAUGGAAUGAUUGUUAAGUGUACAUGUCUAGCGGGCAGAUGUCAUGUGACCUUGACCUCAUUUUUCAUGGUUUCAGUGGUCAAAGUUAAGUUUUGAGUUUGGUCUUUUUAUCUAAUGCUAUAUGCCAUAGGUCAACUAUAUUUGGUGUAUGGAAAUAUUUUAUGAUCUUUAUGUCAGUCGAGCAGGUUUUAUUUAACCGUGACCUCAUUUUCACGGUUCAUUGCACAGUGUUAAGUUUUUGUGUUUUGGUCUAUUUUUCUUAAACUAUAAGUAAUGUGUCAACUACAAAUGUAUAUAUGUUGUAUCGAAGCAUUGUUAGCUGUACCUGUCUGCCUGGCAUGGUUCAUCUGACCUGGACCUCUUUUUCAAGGUUCAUUGGUCUUUGUUUAGUUAUCUUGGUUAAUGUAAAGUUUAUGUGACAGUUGUAAUAAAGCUUAGCUUUAUACUUAAGACUAUCAACAUAAUAUCAAUGAUUAGUAUAGAAGGCGAGACAUUUCAGCGUGUGCACUCUUGUUGACAAAGGUCUAAGUCAUAGUGAAAAUUAUACAUUUAUUUUCAGAGCAUAAACAUUGUUUUGCACAUUUAAGAUUUAUACAAUUGAUUGUUGAUACAUGUUAAUUUUGCAAUUGUGAUAAAUUUGUUUUUUAUAUCAUUCAAUGACUAUUUGCAUUCUACAAAAUGCAAUAUUUGCCUCACAUUAUUUGAAUGUUUCGGUUGUUUCGAUGUUUAUAAUUUGUUCAGAAUUUUAUAGGAAUAAAAUUGACAGUAUAACAAGUUUACAAUGUUUUGGCAUUUACUUCUGACAGUCUUUUCUAAUACAAGAGGGAAGCCAAACGUUCAAUUUAGGAUUAAAUUUAAUUUUAAUAUCUGAUAUUUGCUCAACCAUAGCCCCAAAACUCAAUUUGUAAUUGAUUUUCUUUUAAACAGCUAGUAUAUAAUCAAAAUUUCAAAGAUUUUCACCCAUCCCUCUAUCAUGUUAUUAAUAUUUGGUAUUUGUAGAAAAGCUGGCAUCAGUUCUGUGAACUAAAUUGUCUGAAAGAAACUGAUUAUAAAACAGGUCUUUGCUGAGACAGACUUUGAUGGGCUUUCUGUGUAAGACUAUAGCCUGACCCGUACAGAUGGCAUAUCAGUUCUGAAAAGUUUGAAAAUUUUAUAAGCUGGAAGUCCUGGCCAAGUCUUCUGCAACUUUUGAACAUGGACUAUUCAUAUCUUGUAUACUUUAUACAAUGAACUGAUGAAAAUAACCUGAAAGAAUAACAAACUGAUUAUAAAAAUACACAAAAAACAACCGAAGCAGGCCAGUAAAAAAAAAAAAAAAAAAUACCUACCUACCGACCCUAAUUUUUUGGGGCAUGCAACAGGAAACACACCUAUUUUUUUUUUUGGCCUGAUCGAACAA